Molecule: transfer RNA, 66 nt
Filed under: Zahniserius cylindricus
Lineage: Eukaryota; Metazoa; Arthropoda; Insecta; Hemiptera; Cicadellidae
Description: tRNA-Pro
Source: RNAcentral
CAACAAAUAUUUUAUAAUAAAAUUUUAGUUUUGGGAAUUAGAGAUGUGGUUUUUCCAUUUUGUUGA